This 123-nucleotide small nuclear RNA is filed under the name Pongo abelii (Sumatran orangutan). Its description in RNAcentral is "U2 spliceosomal RNA (ENSPPYG00000040032.1)". It matches the Rfam family "U2 spliceosomal RNA". Rfam says of the family: U2 is a small nuclear RNA (snRNA) component of the spliceosome (involved in pre-mRNA splicing). Complementary binding between U2 snRNA (in an area lying towards the 5' end but 3' to hairpin I) and the branchpoint sequence (BPS) of the intron results the bulging out of an unpaired adenosine, on the BPS, which initiates a nucleophilic attack at the intronic 5' splice site, thus starting the first of two transesterification reactions that mediate splicing. The record is from Rfam by way of RNAcentral. Lineage: Eukaryota; Metazoa; Chordata; Mammalia; Primates; Hominidae.
AUUACUUCUCAGUCUUUGGUUAAGAUCAAGUGUAUUAUCUGUUCUUACCAGUUUAAUACUAUAAGAUGUGGUCUUUGUGCCUGGCUUCUUUCACUUAGCGUAAUGUUUUCAAAGUUAAUCCAU